Molecule: transfer RNA, 57 nt
Filed under: Marmota marmota marmota (Alpine marmot)
Lineage: Eukaryota; Metazoa; Chordata; Mammalia; Rodentia; Sciuridae
Also listed under: 4 other names
Rfam family: tRNA
About the family: Transfer RNA (tRNA) molecules are approximately 80 nucleotides in length. Their secondary structure includes four short double-helical elements and three loops (D, anti-codon, and T loops).
Source: Rfam by way of RNAcentral
UAGCUCAGUUGGAAGAGUGCUUGCCUCUCAUGCAAAGGCCCUGGGUUCAAUCCCCAG